This 285-nucleotide unclassified non-coding RNA is filed under the name Ascomycota sp. Its description in RNAcentral is "partial contains small subunit ribosomal RNA, internal transcribed spacer 1, and 5.8S ribosomal RNA". The stretch from base 1 to 47 matches the Rfam family "Eukaryotic small subunit ribosomal RNA", at positions 1785 to 1831 of the family's 1831-position model. The record is from RNAcentral. Lineage: Eukaryota; Fungi; Ascomycota.
AAAGUCGUAACAAGGUUUCCGUAGGUGAACCUGCGGAAGGAUCAUUAAACUUUUAUAUCACGGGGGGCCGGACCUCCACAAAGACUAGGGCCCAGGCAGCGCUGCUGCUCCCAAUCUUUGUGCCCGCCCCUGUCUGGCAUAUACCCAUGUCCUUUGCGUACAACUUGUUUUCCUUGGGGGGCUUGCCCCCCAUUAGGACCAAUAUACCAACCCUUUUGUAAUUGCAGUCUGCGUCAGAAAAUCAUAUAAUAAUUACAACUUUCAACAACGGAUCUCUUGGUUCUG